RNAcentral lists this ribosomal RNA (402 nucleotides) under uncultured bacterium. RNAcentral describes it as "bacterial SSU rRNA". It matches the Rfam family "Bacterial small subunit ribosomal RNA", at positions 356 to 773 of the family's 1533-position model. The record is from RNAcentral.
GGGGAAUAUUGGGCAAUGGGCGCAAGCCUGACCCAGCAACGCCGCGUGAAGGAAGAAGGCUUUCGGGUUGUAAACUUCUUUUGACAGGGAAGAGCAGAAGACUGUACCUGUCGAAUAAGCCACGGCUAACUACGUGCCAGCAGCCGCGGUAAUACGUAGGUGGCAAGCGUUGUCCGGAUUUACUGGGUGUAAAGGGCGUGUAGCCGGGAAGGCAAGUCAGAUGUGAAAUCUGGAGGCUCAACCUCCAAACUGCAUUUGAAACUGUUUUUCUUGAGUAUCGGAGAGGCAAUCGGAAUUCCUAGUGUAGCGGUGAAAUGCGUAGAUAUUAGGAGGAACACCAGUGGCGAAGGCGGAUUGCUGGACGACAACUGACGGUGAGGCGCGAAAGCGUGGGGAGCAAAC